Molecule: ribosomal RNA, 253 nt
Filed under: uncultured bacterium
Lineage: Bacteria
Description: partial 16S ribosomal RNA
Rfam family: Bacterial small subunit ribosomal RNA
Source: RNAcentral
UACGGAGGGUGCAAGCGUUAUCCGGAUUCACUGGGUUUAAAGGGAGCGUAGGUGGGUCUGUAAGUCAGUGGUGAAAUCUCCGGGCUUAACCUGGAAACUGCCAUUGAUACUAUAGGUCUUGAAUAUUGUGGAGGUUAGCGGAAUAUGUCAUGUAGCGGUGAAAUGCUUAGAUAUGACAUAGAACACCAAUUGCGAAGGCAGCUGGCUACGCAUAUAUUGACACUGGGGCUCGAAAGCGUGGGGAUCAAACAGG